GAUGAAGAACGUAGCGAAAUGCGAUAAGUAAUGUGAAUUGCAGAAUUCAGUGAAUCAUCGAAUCUUUGAACGCACAUUGCGCCCGCCAGUAUUUUGGCGGGCAUGCCUGUUCGAGCGUCAUUUCAACCAUCAAGCCCCAGGCUUGUGUUGGGGACCUGCGGCUGCCGCAGGCCCUGAAAACCAGUGGCGGGCUCGCUGUCACACCGGGCGUAGUAGAUUUUAUCUCGCUCAGGGCGUGCUGCGGGUUCCGGCCGUUAAAAAGCCUUUUUUACCCAAGGUUGACCUCGGAUCAGGUAGGAAUACCCGCUGAACUUAAGCAUAUCAAUAAGCGGAGGA
This 336-nucleotide unclassified non-coding RNA is filed under the name soil metagenome. RNAcentral describes it as "partial contains 5.8S ribosomal RNA, internal transcribed spacer 2, and large subunit ribosomal RNA". The stretch from base 1 to 120 matches the Rfam family "5.8S ribosomal RNA", at positions 35 to 154 of the family's 154-position model. The record is from RNAcentral.